GUGGUGAAGAUGUGCCACCUGAGGUUCCUACUCCUACACAUGCGGACUCGAGGGAGCUUGAAAAUCCAACACCGCAUGAAUUUCCAGAGUUACAGGAAGACACCCGGUGUGCACUUCUAGCCCCGGGGCAUGCAAAUAGUACCGCGUUGAGUUUGGUGGCGUAUGGUAGUGCCCAACCGACGACGGGUGCUACGGCGGGGCCACAUCAUUACUCGGUUGGGAUCGAUUCAGUGG
Molecule: long non-coding RNA, 234 nt
Organism: Chenopodium quinoa (quinoa)
Lineage: Eukaryota; Viridiplantae; Streptophyta; Magnoliopsida; Caryophyllales; Amaranthaceae
Exons: 3
Source: RefSeq, a predicted model, not a curated record